Molecule: long non-coding RNA, 1005 nt
Filed under: Equus caballus (horse)
Lineage: Eukaryota; Metazoa; Chordata; Mammalia; Perissodactyla; Equidae
Description: lncRNA (ENSECAG00000058291.1)
Source: RNAcentral
CGGCAGGUGGGAGGUGAGAGCAGUUAUGGAUAACAUCUGAGCUGUGGGUGUUGGUAGGAACUCUCCUGGCUCUGGGUGGUUGGGGUGGGGGGAAAUCAGGAGGCUCUCUGAACUGAGGGCAGCAUGAGCCUCCCAGCCAUGGGGCUUGGGGUCCCACUCCAGGCUUCUUCAUUCUUGCCCCUCUUCCCUCCUUGCUUAAGUGGUCUGUGAUGACCAGCCAGGUUCCUCAGCUACCUCACAGAGAAAAAUAUGAUCGGUGCCCUUCUUAGGUGCAGAAACAGCAAUUUACCUAAGGCCUCAAGGCCACCGCCCCGCGCAGUGCAUGGAGGUGGGAAGGGAAAGGAGGAAAGGGCUUGUCCAGAGGCCCUUCACCUCGGCCCCCGGGCUCCGCGCGACUUGCCUGGCUCCGCGGGCAGCAGGGAGGAUGAGGCGCCGUCAGGGGGCGAGGGCACCGCCUAGUUCCGCGGGCCAGUCAGGUCUGUGGGCUCCCAGUCCUCCAGCACUCAAGUCCACUCCUCCUCCACCAUAGUGGGACCUCUUCGUAACCCAGUCCUCCCAAAGCCGUCUUCCUCACCUCACCGCAGUCCUGGCCCAAACUGCCCGGGGACGGGCCCACCCAGGGGGUCCCGGCCGGGCCGCUCCUCCGCCCUCCCAUGGGACCCGCUGCGUCCUAGAGCCCCAGCUUGUCUUCGAGCUUCGCUGCCUCCCGCUCGCUGUCUGCCUCGCUCCCGCCUUCCUCCCUUCUCCCUCCUCCAGCCGCAUCAGAAAUAUAUUGUAGUAUUCUCACCUAAUCCUGUUCAAUUACAGCAUAAUAAAACACAUAAUAAAAACCUAAUUCAUUUUUCUCCCGCGCCUCCCAUCUCCCGGCAUCUUCUAGCUCGGGAUUAAAAAUUUGUCUUCAUGUUUGUGGCACCGCAAUCCCGGCGCCUCCGCAUCUUUAAUGUAUGAGCCGGGGAGCUAGAGAUCCGCGGAUUCUGCGGUCUUCGCGCCGGGAAGGCGCCUGCC